GAUGAACGCUGGCGGCGUGCCUAAUACAUGCAAGUCGAGCGAACAGACGAGGAGCUUGCUCCUCUGACGUUAGCGGCGGACGGGUGAGUAACACGUGGAUAACCUACCUAUAAGACUGGGAUAACUUCGGGAAACCGGAGCUAAUACCGGAUAAUAUAUUGAACCGCAUGGUUCAAUAGUGAAAGACGGUUUUGCUGUCACCUAUAGAUGGAUCCGCGCCGCAUUAGCUAGUUGGUAAGGUAACGGGUUACCAAGGCAACGAUGCGUAGCCGACCUGAGAGCGAGGUGGGCCAAGAAGAACAUAACGCGCGGCACAGUCACCAAGGGGAGGAGGGAUUGGGGAACUUUGCGCAGGGGGCGAAAGCGUGUCAGAACAACUGCGGUGGAUAUAUGAAGGUUUUGGGAUCAUAAACCUAUGUUUUUAGGGGAAAAAAAGUGUAAAAGUGACAAUACCCGUCUUGGGGUCACCUAAACAAGAAGCCCCAGCUGACCAGGG
RNAcentral lists this ribosomal RNA (496 nucleotides) under uncultured bacterium. Its description in RNAcentral is "partial 16S ribosomal RNA". It matches the Rfam family "Bacterial small subunit ribosomal RNA", at positions 28 to 506 of the family's 1533-position model. The record is from RNAcentral.